UAGUGACAUGACGGUGACGGCCAUGUUGGGAGUUUCUUCCUAGUGUUGUUAAUGUUGCCUGUGUAUACAUUGGUAUCGGUAGUGCUGGUGGGUUACAGAAUCAGAUCCAGAAGUACAUUGUUGUUGAGUGCGCACCGGACGUUGGUACGGAUCGCUUCAGUUAAACAGACUUGUCCAGAAGGGUUGAGACGAUUUCUUCGGUCGGUUUUCGGGAAGAAUCCCCAGCGAGCCAGGAUCACCAUGCCAACUCCCAAGGCAUUACCCCUGCACAAAGUGAUAAUGGUGGGCAGCGGAGGGGUGGGCAAGUCGGCCCUGACGUUGCAGUUCAUGUACGACGAGUUUGUUGAGGACUACGAGCCGACCAAGGCCGACAGCUAUCGCAAGAAGAUCACGCUGGAUGGUGAGGAAGUCCAGAUUGACAUCCUGGACACGGCGGGCCAGGAAGACUACGCAGCCAUCCGCGACAACUACUUCCGCUCAGGGGAAGGGUUCCUGUGCGUCUUCAGCAUCACCGAGCAGGAGUCGUUCGCAACCACUACAGAAUUCAGGGAACAGAUUUUGAGAGUGAAGUGCGACCGGACAGAAGAUAUGAUCCCCUUUCUUUUGGUUGGCAACAAAGCGGACCUGGCUGACAAGAGGCAGGUGAGCCCAGAGGAGGCAGGGAACCGGGCGACGGCUUGGAAGGUUCCCUAUGUCGAGACCUCGGCCAAAACAAGGGAAAAUGUCGAUAAGGCUUUUUAUGAUCUCAUGCGAAAGAUUCGGGAGCAGAAGGCCCGGGAGAACCAGAAGCAGAACGGCAAGGGCAAGACAACGCCAUCCGGCGGACGGAGCAAGCGGAAAUGCGUCAUCCUGUGAAACCAUAGUCUGUCAUGUGUGUGUGUGUCUUUGUCUGUUGGGUUUCUUAUCGUUCUCCGUGGGGUCAGGUCGGACCUGCACGCCUUGUGGCUGCCUGUGGACGGAUUGCACAUGACCAGAGCAGCCAUAGUGUGUAGCGUUGCCAAGCCUCUUUGUAAUACCCAGUGUAACACCAGCCCAUCACAGCCAUGUCAUCUUUGAGUGGCUGCUUUGUACAGGUUUUACUUUGGAACAUCUCAUGUAAAUAGACAGUGACGUAAAUCUGGGGGUCACAUGAUUUCAUUCUCCCUCUCCAUAAAAAAAAGUUGUGCAUUUUUAUUUGAAGGAAAUGCAAACUUCGCUUGGAUGCGAUACUUAAAUCGCAUCCCCCCUCGCAUUGUACAAACUAAUAUUACAUUCUAAGGUGUCGAAACAUAAAGGAUGACACAUGCGACGCAUGUGUCACAUGUAACACAUAUUGAGCAUGUCGAAUCUGUCAAGGACAUACAGUAAUGGAAAGUGAAAUCGCUGCAGUUGUAAAAAAGUGGCUAUAGUUGUGUCCGACGCAGACUUCUUGAGUAGUGCUGUUUGCACGUGCUUUCGCAACUGUUGAAGACCUAGACCUAGCAAUGCAUUCAAGAUUCAGGCGUAGCCUGUGUGCCCAUUGACACAGACCUGUGAUAACUGAGAGUGGCGGUCCGAACGGUAGACUGCAUAAUUUUUUUACGUGUACGCGCAAGGCGGAAACCGCUUGGCAUGCUAAGCACUGACUUUCCGCAAUAUGAAUGGCACCCCCACAGGAAGAGUGGAGGAUGUAAUGAGGGACAGCAUUCAACCAUGCCAGUCGAUCUGUGACGUCAUACCUAACAAGACGGUUGAUUGGCCAGAAUGCACUGUCUCAGUGUGACAUCUUUGAAAAAAAAUUCACUGAGCUUUAGAAUCACAGCAGUUUGCCAACCUGUCGUGUGGUAUAUUGCAGUCAGUGUGACCAAUUCCAUAGGAGCCGCUAUGUUCAAUUUUUUAUAACACUGCAUUUUCAUUUUCACUUGCUGUGUAAUUUGGCCUUUACAUGCAAUGCAUUUAGGCAGCACAGAACUUAUUAUAUAUUUUGUCAAUCAAAAGCUGGAAUGCAUUUCUAUUUUUCAAAGUCCUGUAUCCAUCAAACUCAAUCAAAACAGGGUGUUAGAUUCUGUCAGAUGAAGGAAGUUGAGGUUCAGUUGUAAGAAAGACCACUGCUCAUCUAAAAAUUGAAAACAAGCACACUUCUGUUUUUUGUGUUCCAACUUGAUAGUCCACGAUUUAGAACUGAAAGAGUAUUGACUUCCAAGCGUUCUCUUACGUAUCAGUUCAAUUCAGGUAUUUUCGAUACAGGAUCAGAAAUUACCUUGGGAGGCUUUUAAAGCAUAUUUUGAAAACAUUUGCAAAAGCUUUUGUUGAACAGUGCACCUAGUUAAUCUCCAAGAUAAACAGGUUGAGGCCCAUACAGAUGCAUUGUAAGUUACUUGGAUUGCCUCAAGUUGUAGUGUACAGUGUCCAUGUAAGACUGGAAAGGCAUUUGAAAUAUCAGACCACGUGACAUCUUAUUUGGGAUCAGUUUCAACAUGCUGUAGAGCUUGUCACUGACUCAGAAAUGUCAAGAACUAAAAGAUAAAGUGAGCUUCAGCCGAGAGCUGGGGCUGCUGCAGAAUUUGCUUUAGCAGAAAGAAUUUGCUUUAGCAGAAAUCAGGUUGCCAGCCUAACUGCUAUGCCAGGAACAUAUAUAUUGUCAGGGACUGCACGGUACUCUGCAGAUUUUUUAUGAGAACAUAAAUUUGCCAGUUAUUCACUUCUGCCGAGCUCCAUAAAGUAGGGCCCAGGCUUUCUGGCUGAAGCUCACAGUAGACACAUAUGUUCUGUGAUAUUUAACCAAAUAAAGGGCAAAAAUCUGAAAAAAGGAACAGAUGAACAGAAGACACCUGUUAACCUUUGAAAUAUACCAUUGAAAUGACUGGCAUGUUAAAUGUUGACAUGUGGCCCUACCACAAAAUGGCUUAUAAAGUAAAAGAAAAUUGGCAAGAAAAAUAUGCAGAUGUAAUGGAACUCAACACAAGUUGUAAAACCGUAGCCAAAAAGUUGCCGUGCAUCAAAUUCAUAAAUAGCCUGGAAAUGAUUUGUAAUUAUUUUAGUGUAUACGUACAUGUAUAUUUUUUGGUUUGCAGUAUAUUUGUGGAUCAGUUCUCCUUGUUUGAGAUCCUUCACACUGUCACCCAAGUUUUUUCCCUGUUGUUUCUUGAGGGAAAUACACUAACCAAGAAUAUUAAAUUCUGUUCUUAUUGUGCAUGUCAAUUGCAUGGUUUUCAUCUGUCAUUGUUGCAGAUGUUCUCAUGUGCAGGUUCCCAUUUUAUAUCCCAUCUUUUCUGAUGCAAACCUGUGUUGAAUGGGAAAAAAGUAGUCAGGAGGCCUGCUUUGUUUGUUGGUGGCUUAUGAAGUCAGGGUACCCAGACAAAGAUGGCCGCCACGUUUGCAGCCCUCACCCUUUAGCUGAUGUAAUCUGAAACUUUUAAAGUGGACAUAUAUGACUAGUAUAUGUUCAUCUCUUGCUGUAUUUGGUUUGAAAACAUUUUUGGGAGAGCAUCUUUGACUUUUGCUACUUUUACAAAUCAAAUUGUCAGUCACGUAGAUUAUCUCUUCAGGUCAGUUUCUGUUUUUUUUUCCCGUUCAAGUAAUGUCAGCUUUGCAUCUGAAUUUCAUUCAUUGUAUCCCUAACUAAUUUUGCGCUUAAAUCAGAUUGGCUUUGGUAUGAGCUGUAUGGCUUCUGCUAAUUUACAGCUUCAAUCACAACACUACUGACUUUCCAUAAUCUUUUAUGGUCUGUGCUUGUGGUUUGUGCAAUACAAUGGAUCAAUGUGCUACUGUAAAUUGUGUAGAAAUCUCUGCUUCACAUUUUUUCUGAGGUUUCAAUUCUUCAAAUGUUUGCAGGAUCAAGUCCUGGACCUUGAAUUUCAAUUUGUCAGAGAUGUCAUUGCAUUUUUUUUCUGUCAGCCUUAAACGUCAAUUCUUUAUUUUGAAUCAAGGAGUAAGUCACUCGCAACUUUGAAAUGGUUGUUCAUGAGGCCACCUCCUAUUGUGGCAAAAAACAACACCUAUAUAAAUGUAUGAAGCCACAAGCUUCUGUACAUGUUCCUCAGUAUAUAAGGCAAGCAUAAAUUUCCACAGAAAGGGUUAAUUUCACGGCUCACUCAGAAGCCUGCUUAAAUGUCCGAAUGUUUCUUUCUUGCGGUGUAAGUCUAAACGUAGUUUCAAGUUUUGUCUCUUGUUUGCUCAGUUUUGGGGAGAAUAAGCAUGUAGAAUCUUGUGUACAUUUGAAAAGACGUAACUCUCGUAUUGAGGAAUCACUAAAAUCAUUUAAUCAAGCUGUUCAUUCAUAACAAUCACCCAGCGUCUGUGUCAGUUUUUUUUUUAAAUGUACUUGUAUUAACAUAAUGUAUCUAUAUAUUUGAUUGUAUUUGCAUGAUUUGGCACAAACUGCACACUGUGCUCUUAUUUAUAUGAUUAAGCUUAUUUUCAUGCUACUUUUUUUCCUGAUACUGUACAUUCAUAAGGCAUCUCCAGAAGAAAAGUUCAACAGGAAAUAGAACUUUGGGCUUGCCUGUGUACAGUGAUUAUUGCCCUCUUUUGAAUUCUCUUGAGACAAAGUUGUCCUUGUCUUGCAGAUGAUGUUGCAAUGUUGGAGGAUAUACAGUCUGUAGAAAUACCAAGCAAUCCCAAGUCUUUUUAUUCUGUUUUUUUCCUUUAUUGCUGAUUCUAUAUGGCAUAACUGAAAAAUAUUGACUUUGAGACAUGACAGUUCUUUGCCUUGUACAAAUUUAGUGAUAUUUCAAGACUGGCAAACACACAUGAAUUAGAAUAAUAAUGUGCAAAGCCCUGUUACCAAUGCCCGAGGUUUUUGCUAGAAAAAUGGGGUCCAAUUAUUUUCGUGGCCCUGUCACAUUAGUCUUGGAACCAAGGCUACUGUCACAUCAGACAAAUGAUUUUGCAAGUUCAGAACACAAGUUUUGAUUUCCCAGAGUGAUGAAGUUAUACAAGUUACCCACCACACAAAUAUAGUUUGAAAUCACUUUCAGUGAUAUGUCCAAGUCAAAUUGCGCAAGACAGUUAUAACAAGGACACCCAAGAGUCACAUUUCUGUACCCUUUCCCCCCAUUUAUAGAAUGACCCCUGUGGCCUCACAGGUAUCGAUUGUGGUUGUAUUUAGGGCAUUCCUAGUUUGUAACAGUACAAAUGGCCCAGCCAUUGAUCUUUUGUUGUGUGAUGCUGCAACUGUGCCAGUGUGUUUAUGGUACAAAUACCCUCACAUUAUAAUUGACAGGAUGCGGAACCCUGGUUGAACUCUUUUCCUUAAUGGGAUUUUUCACUGACCCAUGUCUGUGGAUUAAAGAAAGAUUAUAUAUUUAUGCUGAAGGCUAGUCUGCUAGUCUAUGAACUUCAGCGCCUGGAAUGUUCUCUUUUCUAAAUCCAUUAACUACCGGUUACAUGCCGAGAUUAAUCCUUACCUUUGUGUACUGUCUGAAGUCGUUCCUAAAAUUUGUCGAGGCCGUUGUAUGAUUUUGAAGUCUUGAUUAUACUUGUAUGUACAUUAUGAGACAUUUUAUAUGAUUUGCACCUGUAAAACCAGUUUUGGUAAAUACAUAUAUAGCUACUGUACACUGAAAGUUUACAGGUGGCUGUUAACGGGUUAAAGGAGUAGUUAGGAUAUUUAUGUGAUUUACGGGCAUCUAGAACCUGGUUAGCAUCACCUUAUACUGGGUUUAUCCCAUUGUAAUUGUAUAAACGUGGAAAUAUUGCCUUUCCCUAGCAAUUGUAGGCCAGAAUAAAGUAGCAUUGUAUUGAUACUUCAAACACUAAUUGCAGUGUGCUGAUUUUCUUGCAGUUUCUAAUAACAAAUUUAUGAAGCAA
Molecule: unclassified non-coding RNA, 5769 nt
Filed under: Acanthaster planci (crown-of-thorns starfish)
Lineage: Eukaryota; Metazoa; Echinodermata; Asteroidea; Valvatida; Acanthasteridae
Description: ras-related protein Ral-A-like, transcript variant X3
Source: RNAcentral